RNAcentral lists this ribosomal RNA (469 nucleotides) under uncultured bacterium. RNAcentral describes it as "bacterial SSU rRNA". It matches the Rfam family "Bacterial small subunit ribosomal RNA", at positions 9 to 445 of the family's 1533-position model. The record is from RNAcentral.
GAGUUUGAACCUGGCUCAGGACGAACGCUGGCGGCGUGCCUAAUACAUGCAAGUCGAGCGAGCUUGCCUAGAUGAUUUUAGUGCUUGCACUAAAUGAAACUAGAUACAAGCGAGCGGCGGACGGGUGAGUAACACGUGGGUAACCUGCCCAAGAGACUGGGAUAACACCUGGAAACAGAUGCUAAUACCGGAUAACAACACUAGACGCAUGUCUAGAGUUUGAAAGAUGGUUCUGCUAUCACUCUUGGAUGGACCUGCGGUGCAUUAGCUAGUUGGUAAGGUAACGGCUUACCAAGGCAAUGAUGCAUAGCCGAGUUGAGAGACUGAUCGGCCACAUUGGGACUGAGACACGGCCCAAACUCCUACGGGAGGCAGCAGUAGGGAAUCUUCCACAAUGGACGAAAGUCUGAUGGAGCAACGCCGCGUGAGUGAAGAAGGGUUUCGGCUCGUAAAGCUCUGUUGGCAGUGA